CUAAGAAUAUUCCGCAAUGGACGAAAGUCUGACGGAGCGACGCCGCAUGGAUGACGAAGGCCGAAAGGUUGUAAAGUCCUUUUGCUGGGGAAGAAUAACCAUGGGAGGGAAUGCCCGUGGGAUGACAUGAACCGGCGAAUAAGCCCCGGCUAACUACGUGCCAGCAGCCGCGGUAACACGUAGGGGGCGAGCGUUGUUCGGACUUGCUGGGCGUGAAGGGAAUGUAGGCGGCUCUGUAAGCCUGGCGUGAAAGUCACCGGCUCAACCGGUGGAUGGCGCUGGGAACUGCGGGGCUUGAAUCAUGGAGAGGGAGCUAGAAUUCCAGGUGUAGGGGUGAAAUCUGUAGAGAUCUGGAAGAAUACCAGUGGCGAAGGCGAGCUCCUGGCCAAUGAUUGACGCUGAGGUGCGAAAGUGUGGGGAUCAAACA
This 427-nucleotide ribosomal RNA is filed under the name uncultured prokaryote. RNAcentral's name for it is "bacterial SSU rRNA". It matches the Rfam family "Bacterial small subunit ribosomal RNA", at positions 355 to 774 of the family's 1533-position model. The record is from RNAcentral.